CGGACGGGUGAGUAACACGUGGAUAACCUACCUAUAAGACUGGGAUAACUUCGGGAAACCGGAGCUAAUACCGGAUAAUAUAUUGAACCGCAUGGUUCAAUAGUGAAAGACGGUUUUGCUGUCACUUAUAGAUGGAUCCGCGCCGCAUUAGCUAGUUGGUAAGGUAACGGCUUACCAAGGCAACGAUGCGUAGCCGACCUGAGAGAGUGAUCGGCCACACUGGAACUGAGACACGGUCCAGACUCCUACGGGAGGCAGCAGUU
RNAcentral lists this ribosomal RNA (263 nucleotides) under uncultured Staphylococcus sp. RNAcentral describes it as "partial 16S ribosomal RNA". It matches the Rfam family "Bacterial small subunit ribosomal RNA", at positions 99 to 355 of the family's 1533-position model. Lineage: Bacteria; Bacillati; Bacillota; Bacilli; Caryophanales; Staphylococcaceae. The record is from RNAcentral.